UCGCCUGUUUAUCAAAAACAUAGUUUAGUGAAAUUAUACUAAAUUAAUUCUGCCCAGUGUCAAAAAUUAGAUAAAUGGCCGCAGUACCCUGACUGUGCUAAGGUAGCAUAAUCAAUUGGCUUUUAAUUGAAGUCUGGAAUGAAAGGAUAAAUGGGAUCUUUCUGUCUUUAAGAUAUUAAUAUAAAUUUAUUUAAAAGGUGAAAAUACCUUUUUUUAAAAAAAAGACGAGAAGACCCUAAGAAUUUUUAAAAUUAAAAUUUUUCUUUUAAUUUUUUUGUUGGGGCGACAAUUUAGUAAAAAGUUAACCUAAAUUAUUUAAUAAGGUGAAAUUUUUAAGUAAAAUAAAAUUACCUUAGGGAUAACAGCAUAAUUUUAAAAUAGUUUGUGACCUCGAUGUUGGACUAGGAACUUUAUGGCUAGCAGUCAAAUAAGAUUUAUUCUGUUCGAAUAAUAUUAUCCUACGUGAUCUGAGUUCAGACCGGA
Molecule: ribosomal RNA, 483 nt
Filed under: Bulinus tropicus
Lineage: Eukaryota; Metazoa; Mollusca; Gastropoda; Planorbidae
Description: partial large subunit ribosomal RNA
Rfam family: Bacterial large subunit ribosomal RNA
Source: RNAcentral